This 253-nucleotide ribosomal RNA is filed under the name uncultured bacterium. RNAcentral's name for it is "partial 16S ribosomal RNA". It matches the Rfam family "Bacterial small subunit ribosomal RNA", at positions 524 to 776 of the family's 1533-position model. The record is from RNAcentral.
UACGGGGGGGGUAAGCGUUGUUCGGAAUUACUGGGCGUAAAGGGCUCGUAGGCGGCCAACUAAGUCGGACGUGAAAUCCCUCAGCUUAACUGGGGAACUGCGUCUGAUACUGGAUGGCUUGGAUUUGGGAGAGGGAUGCGGAAUUCCAGGUGUAGCGGUGAAAUGCGUAGAUAUCUGGAGGAACACCGGUGGCGAAGGCGGCUUCCUGGACACCAACUGACGCUGAGACGCGAAAGCGUGGGGAGCAAACAGG